This 21-nucleotide non-coding RNA is filed under the name Arabidopsis thaliana (thale cress). Lineage: Eukaryota; Viridiplantae; Streptophyta; Magnoliopsida; Brassicales; Brassicaceae. The record is from RNAcentral.
AUUCCAGAUGGUAGAAAUGGG